AUAGGUGAGAGUUUUCUUAACCAUAGGCACGAGGCUUUCGUAAACAUUUAAACUAUCUCCACAUAUAUGUACGAAUCAUGCACCAAAUAUCUGUAUUUCUUCAACUUUGAAAAAUAUACUCCAUCCUAGCGUGUUAGGUUCAUAUGAUUUCUUCUGCUGAAUUUUAAUACAUUA
Molecule: small RNA, 174 nt
Filed under: Arabidopsis thaliana (thale cress)
Lineage: Eukaryota; Viridiplantae; Streptophyta; Magnoliopsida; Brassicales; Brassicaceae
Description: ATSL238680
Source: RNAcentral